Molecule: ribosomal RNA, 473 nt
Filed under: uncultured Desulfuromonas sp.
Lineage: Bacteria; Pseudomonadati; Thermodesulfobacteriota; Desulfuromonadia; Desulfuromonadales; Desulfuromonadaceae
Description: bacterial SSU rRNA
Rfam family: Bacterial small subunit ribosomal RNA
Source: RNAcentral
GUUGACGGGGCCCGCACAAGCGGUGGAGCAUGUGGUUAAUUCGACGCAACGCGAAGAACCUUACCUGGGCUUGACAUCCCGAUCGUACCUGCUGGAAACAGCGGGGUCAGUUCGGCUGGAUCGGAGACAGGUGCUGCAUGGCUGUCGUCAGCUCGUGUCGUGAGAUGUUGAGUUAAGUCCCGCAACGAGCGCAACCCUUGUCCUUAGUUGCCAUCAUUUAGUUGGGCACUCUAAGGAGACUGCCGGUGUUAAACCGGAGGAAGGUGGGGAUGACGUCAAGUCCUCAUGGCCCUUAUGUCCAGGGCUACACACGUGCUACAAUGGCCGGUACAAAGGGCAGCAAAGCCGCGAGGUGGAGCCAAUCCCAGAAAGCCGGUCUCAGUUCGGAUUGGAGUCUGCAACUCGACUCCAUGAAGUUGGAAUCGCUAGUAAUCGCGGAUCAGCAUGCCGCGGUCGAAUACGUUCCGGGCCUU